RNAcentral lists this long non-coding RNA (206 nucleotides) under Elaeis guineensis (African oil palm). RNAcentral's name for it is "long non-coding RNA (EGUI_LNC033978)". Lineage: Eukaryota; Viridiplantae; Streptophyta; Magnoliopsida; Arecales; Arecaceae. The record is from RNAcentral.
UUUUUAAUUAUUUUUCUUGAUUUUCCAAAUAAGUAAUGCAAUCAAGCUAACUCUAUCCUAAAGUUAUCCUAAAUCUUGAUAGCUCGUAACUGCCAAAGUCACCUUCGAGUAUUCUAAAUAAAAGACUAGCUACUCAAUUGGCCAAGUAAGUAUAAGGUUGGUGGGUGUCUCCUCAUUGCUUUUCUUAGACACCAACUAAGUUGGCC